GAGUUUGAUCCUGGCUCGGACGAACGCUGGCGGCGUGCUUACACAUGCAAGUCGAGCGAGAGCAGUUGAGGGGUACCCUCGGCUGUGGACAGCGGCGAACGGGUGCGUAACACGUGGGCAAAACUGCCCCUGACACUGGGAUAACCCCGGGAAACCGGAGCUAAUACCGGAUACUCUCGGCCGAUCACAUGGCUGGCCGAGGAAAGGUCCGCCGGUCAGGGAUGGGCCCGCGGCCUAUCAGCUUGUUGGUGGGGUAACGGCCUACCAAGGCGACGACGGGUAGCUGGUCUGAGAGGACGACCAGCCACACUGGAACUGAGAUACGGUCCAGACUCCUACGGGAGGCAGCAGUGGGGAAUAUUGCACAAUGGGCGAAACCCUGAUGCAGCGACGCCGCGUGAGCGAUGAAGCCCUUCGGGGUGUAAAGCUCUUUCGUCAGGGAAGAUAGUGACGGUACCUGGAGAAGCAGCUGCGGCUAACUACGUGCCAGCAGCCGCGGUAAUACGUAGGCAGCAAGCGUUGUUCGGAGUUACUGGGCGUAAAGGGUGUGUAGGCGGUUCUUUAAGUUUGCUGUGAAAUCUCCCGGCUUAACCGGGAGGGUGCGGUGAAUACUGAGGGACUAGAGUACGGGAGAGGAAAGUGGAAUUCCUGGUGUAGCGGUGAAAUGCGUAGAUAUCAGGAGGAACACCGGUGGUGUAGACGGCUUUCUGGACCGUAACUGACGCUGAGACACGAAAGCGUGGGUAGCAAACAGGAUUAGAUACCCUGGUAGUCCACGCCCUAAACGAUGCAUAUUUGGUGUGGGCAGUUCAUUCUGUCCGUGCCGGAACUAACGCGUUAAAUAUGCCGCCUGGGGAGUACAGUCGCAAGGCUGAAACUCAAAGGAAUUGACGGGGGCCCGCACAAGCGGUGGAGCAUGUGGUUCAAUUCGACGCAACGCGAAGAACCUUACCUGGGCUCGAACGGCUUCUCAACGCCGGUGGAAACACUGGUAUCCCGCAAGGGAGUGGAGUCGAGGUGCUGCAUGGCUGUCGUCAGCUCGUGUCGUGAGAUGUUGGGUUAAGUCCCGCAACGAGCGCAACCCCUGUCCUGUGUUGCCAUCAUUCAGUUGGGAACUCGCAGGAGACCGCCAGCGAUAAGCUGGAGGAAGGUGGGGAUGACGUCAAGUCCUCAUGGCCUUUAUGUCCAGGGCUACACACGUGCUACAAUGGACGGUACAAAGCGCAGCAAACCCGCGAGGGGGAGCCAAUCGCAAAAAACCGUUCUCAGUUCGGAUUGCAGGCUGCAACUCGCCUGCAUGAAGCUGGAAUCGCUAGUAAUGGCAGAUCAGCACGCUGCCGUGAUACGUUCCCGGGCCUUGCACACAC
RNAcentral lists this ribosomal RNA (1367 nucleotides) under uncultured bacterium. RNAcentral describes it as "bacterial SSU rRNA". It matches the Rfam family "Bacterial small subunit ribosomal RNA". The record is from RNAcentral.